UACAGAGGGUGCGAGCGUUAAUCGGAGUGACUGGGCGUAAAGGGCGCGUAGGCGGUUAGAUUAGUCUGAUGUGAAAGACCUGGGCUUAACCUGGGAUGUGCAUUGGAAACGGUCUAGCUAGAGUUUGGGAGAGGGAAGUGGAAUUUCCGGUGUAGCGGUGAAAUGCGUAGAGAUCGGAAAGAACACUCGUGGCGAAGGCGACUUUCUGGCCUAAAACUGACGCUGAGGCGCGAAGGCGUGGGGAGCAAACAGG
This 253-nucleotide ribosomal RNA is filed under the name uncultured bacterium. RNAcentral describes it as "partial 16S ribosomal RNA". It matches the Rfam family "Bacterial small subunit ribosomal RNA", at positions 524 to 776 of the family's 1533-position model. The record is from RNAcentral.